Molecule: ribosomal RNA, 467 nt
Filed under: uncultured bacterium
Lineage: Bacteria
Description: partial 16S ribosomal RNA
Rfam family: Bacterial small subunit ribosomal RNA
Source: RNAcentral
GAUGAACGCUGGCGGCGUGCUUAACACAUGCAAGUCGAACGGAAAGGCCCAAGCUUGCCUGGGUACUCGAGUGGCGAACGGGUGAGUAACACGUGGGUGAUCUGCCCUGCACUUCGGGAUAAGCCUGGGAAACUGGGUCUAAUACCGGAUAGGACCACUUCUUGGAUGUUGUGGUGGAAAGUUUUUUCGGUGUGGGAUGAGCUCGCGGCCUAUCAGCUUGUUGGUGGGGUAAUGGCCUACCAAGGCGUCGACGGGUAGCCGGCCUGAGAGGGUGUACGGCCACAUUGGGACUGAGAUACGGCCCAGACUCCUACGGGAGGCAGCAGUGGGGAAUAUUGCACAAUGGGCGCAAGCCUGAUGCAGCGACGCCGCGUGGGGGAUGACGGCCUUCGGGUUGUAAACUCCUUUCGCUAGGGACGAAGCGUUUUGUGACGGUACCUGGAGAAGAAGCACCGGCUAACUACGUG